GGUAUCGCGCCGGUGUGAACGGGCAACUUUGAUGACGUUGAUCACGAGUAUUACUCCGAUACCU
Molecule: transfer RNA, 64 nt
Filed under: Tylorrhynchus heterochetus (Japanese palolo)
Lineage: Eukaryota; Metazoa; Annelida; Polychaeta; Phyllodocida; Nereididae
Description: tRNA-Ile
Source: RNAcentral